RNAcentral lists this ribosomal RNA (464 nucleotides) under Vreelandella stevensii. RNAcentral's name for it is "partial 16S ribosomal RNA". It matches the Rfam family "Bacterial small subunit ribosomal RNA", at positions 338 to 795 of the family's 1533-position model. The record is from RNAcentral. Lineage: Bacteria; Pseudomonadati; Pseudomonadota; Gammaproteobacteria; Oceanospirillales; Halomonadaceae.
CCUACGGGGGGCUGCAGUGGGGAAUAUUGGACAAUGGGCGAAAGCCUGAUCCAGCCAUGCCGCGUGUGUGAAGAAGGCCUUCGGGUUGUAAAGCACUUUCAGUGGGGAAGAAAGCCUUGGGGCUAAUACCCUCGAGGAAGGACAUCACCCACAGAAGAAGCACCGGCUAACUCCGUGCCAGCAGCCGCGGUAAUACGGAGGGUGCGAGCGUUAAUCGGAAUUACUGGGCGUAAAGCGCGCGUAGGCGGUCUGAUAAGCCGGUUGUGAAAGCCCCGAGCUCAACCUGGGAACGGCAUCCGGAACUGUCAGGCUAGAGUGCAGGAGAGGAAGGUAGAAUUCCCGGUGUAGCGGUGAAAUGCGUAGAGAUCGGGAGGAAUACCAGUGGCGAAGGCGGCCUUCUGGACUGACACUGACGCUGAGGUGCGAAAGCGUGGGUAGCAAACAGGAUUAGAUACCCCUUAGUC